RNAcentral lists this ribosomal RNA (433 nucleotides) under uncultured bacterium. RNAcentral's name for it is "partial 16S ribosomal RNA". It matches the Rfam family "Bacterial small subunit ribosomal RNA", at positions 29 to 507 of the family's 1533-position model. The record is from RNAcentral.
AACGAACGCUGGCGGCAGGCCUAACACAUGCAAGUCGAGCGAGGACUUCGGUUCUAGCGGCGGACGGGGGAGUAACGCGUGGGAAUGUGCCCUUCUCUACGGAAUAGCCCUGGGAAACUGGGAGUAAUACCGUAUACGCCCUAUUGGGGAAAGAUUUAUCGGAGAAGGAUCAGCCCGCGUUGGAUUAGGUAGUUGGUGGGGUAAUGGCCUACCAAGCCGACGAUCCAUAGCAGGUUUGUGAGGAUGAUCAGCCACACUGGGACUGAGACACGGCCCAGACUCCUACGGGAGGCAGCAGUGGGGAAUCUUAGACAAUGGGGGCAACCCUGAUCGAGCCAUGCCGCGUGAGUGAUGAAGGCCUUAGGGUUGUAAAGCUCUUUCAGCUGGGAAGAUAAUGACGGUACCAGCAGAAGAAGCCCCGGCUAACUCCGUG